RNAcentral lists this ribosomal RNA (460 nucleotides) under uncultured bacterium. Its description in RNAcentral is "partial 16S ribosomal RNA". It matches the Rfam family "Bacterial small subunit ribosomal RNA", at positions 338 to 795 of the family's 1533-position model. The record is from RNAcentral.
CCUACGGGAGGCAGCAGUGAGGAAUAUUGGUCAAUGGACGGAAGUCUGAACCAGCCAUGCCGCGUGCAGGAAGACGGCUCUAUGAGUUGUAAACUGCUUUUGUACAAGGGUAAACCUGAAUACGUGUAUUCGGCUGAAAGUACUGUACGAAUAAGGAUCGGCUAACUCCGUGCCAGCAGCCGCGGUAAUACGGAGGAUCCAAGCGUUAUCCGGAUUUAUUGGGUUUAAAGGGUGCGUAGGCGGAUUGAUAAGUUAGAGGUGAAAUGUCCGGGCUUAACUCGGGAACUGCCUCUAAUACUGUUGAUCUAGAGAGUAGGUGCGGUAGGCGGAAUGUAUGGUGUAGCGGUGAAAUGCUUAGAGAUCAUACAGAACACCGAUUGCGAAGGCAGCUUACCAAUCUAUAUCUGACGUUGAGGCACGAAAGCGUGGGGAGCAAACAGGAUUAGAUACCCCUGUAGUC